GACGAACGCUGGCGGCGGGCUUAACACAUGCAAGUCGAACGGAAAGGCCCUGCUUUUGUGGGGUGCUCGAGUGGCGAACGGGUGAGGAACACGUGAGUAACCUGCCCUUGACUUUGGGAUAACUUCAGGAAACUGGGGCUAAUACCGGAUAGGAGCUCCUGCUGCAGGGUGGGGGUUGGAAAUUUUCGGCGGUUGGGGAUGGACUCGCGGCUUAUCAGCUUGUUGGUUGGGUAGUGGCUUACCAAGGCUUUGACGGGUAGCCGGCCUGAGAGGGUGACCGGCCACAUUGGGACUGAGAUAGGGCCCAGACUCCUACGGGAGGCAGAAGUGGGGAAUAUUGCACAAUGGGAGGACGCCUGAUGAAGCAACGCCGCGUGCGGGAUGACGGCCUUCGGGUUGUAAACCGCUUUCGCCUGUGACGACGCGUGAGUGACGGUAAUGGGUAAAGAAGCACCGGCUAACUACGUG
RNAcentral lists this ribosomal RNA (468 nucleotides) under uncultured bacterium. RNAcentral's name for it is "partial 16S ribosomal RNA". It matches the Rfam family "Bacterial small subunit ribosomal RNA", at positions 28 to 507 of the family's 1533-position model. The record is from RNAcentral.